This 310-nucleotide ribosomal RNA is filed under the name uncultured bacterium. RNAcentral describes it as "bacterial SSU rRNA". It matches the Rfam family "Bacterial small subunit ribosomal RNA", at positions 207 to 507 of the family's 1533-position model. The record is from RNAcentral.
GUAUUUUAUCGGUGACGGAUGGGCAUGCGGUGCAUUAGCUAGUAGGCGGGGUAACGGCCCACCUAGGCUACGAUGCAGUAGGGGUUCUGAGAGGAACGGUCCCCCACACUGGUACUGAGACACGGACCAGACUCCGUACGGGAGGCAGCAGUGAGGAAUAUUGGUCAAUGGUCGAGAGACUGAACCAGCCAAGUCGCGUGAAGGAAGACGGUUCUAUGGAUUAGUUAAACUUUCUUUAGGUCGGGGAGCAAAAAGAGUGACGAGUCACUAAUUGAGCGUACCCGAAGAAUAAGCAUCGGCUAACUCCGUG